GGGGUAUACGGAGUUCACUCCCAACCCCUGUGACAUACCAAUUGUUGCCUCGGCGGAUCAGCCCGCUCCCGGUAAAACGGGACGGCCCGCCAGAGGACCCCUAAACUCUGUUUCUAUAUGUAACUUCUGAGUAAAACCAUAAAUAAAUCAAAACUUUCAACAACGGAUCUCUUGGUUCUGGCAUCGAUGAAGAACGCAGCAAAAUGCGAUAAGUAAUGUGAAUUGCAGAAUUCAGUGAAUCAUCGAAUCUUUGAACGCACAUUGCGCCCGCCAGUAUUCUGGCGGGCAUGCCUGUUCGAGCGUCAUUUCAACCCUCAAGCCCAGCUUGGUGUUGGGACUCGCGAGUCAAAUCGCGUUCCCCAAAUUGAUUGGCGGUCACGUCGAGCUUCCAUAGCGUAGUAGUAAAACCCUCGUUACUGGUAAUCGUCGCGGCCACGCCGUUAAACCCCAACUUCUGAAUGUUGACCUCGGAUCAGGUAGGAAUACCCGCUGAACUUAAGCAUAUCAAA
RNAcentral lists this ribosomal RNA (509 nucleotides) under Fusarium verticillioides. Its description in RNAcentral is "eukaryotic LSU rRNA". The stretch from base 152 to 305 matches the Rfam family "5.8S ribosomal RNA". The record is from RNAcentral. Lineage: Eukaryota; Fungi; Ascomycota; Sordariomycetes; Hypocreales; Nectriaceae.